CCAUGCAUGUCUAAGUAUAAGCGAGUAUACUGUGAAACUGCGAAUGGCUCAUUAAAUCAGUUAUGGUUUAUUUGAUGGUACCUUGCUACUUGGAUAACCGUAGUAAUUCUAGAGAUAAUACAUGCAGGAGUUCCCGACUUCGGAAGGGAUGUAUUUAUUAGAUAAGAAACCAAACCGGUCUCCGGUUGCGUGCUGAGUCAUACUAACUGCUCGAAUCGCACGGCUUUACGCUGGCGAUGGUUCAUUCAAAUUUCUGCCCUAUCAGCUUUCGAUGGUAGGAUAGAGGCCUACCAUGGCGUUAACGGGUAACGGAGAAUUAGGGUUCGAUUCCGGAGAGGGAGCCUGAGAAAUGGCUACCACAUCCAAGGAAGGCAGCAGGCGCAGUAAAUUGCCCGAAUCCUGACACAGGGAGGUAGUGACAAGAAAUAACAAUACAGGGCUCUUCGAGUCUUGUAAUUGGAAUGAGUACA
This 470-nucleotide ribosomal RNA is filed under the name Isochrysis galbana. RNAcentral's name for it is "SSU rRNA". It matches the Rfam family "Eukaryotic small subunit ribosomal RNA", at positions 49 to 522 of the family's 1831-position model. The record is from RNAcentral. Lineage: Eukaryota; Haptophyta; Isochrysidales; Isochrysidaceae.